Molecule: ribosomal RNA, 421 nt
Filed under: uncultured bacterium
Lineage: Bacteria
Description: bacterial SSU rRNA
Rfam family: Bacterial small subunit ribosomal RNA
Source: RNAcentral
UAAGGAAUAUUGGUCAAUGGACGCAAGUCUGAACCAGCCAUGCCGCGUGAAGGAUGAAGGUCCUCUGGAUUGUAAACUUCUUUUAUCUGGGACGAAAACGGGAUUUUUAUCUCAAUUGACGGUACCAGAGGAAUAAGCACCGGCUAACUCCGUGCCAGCAGCCGCAGUAAUACGGAGGGUGCAAGCGUUAUCCGGAUUCACUGGGUUUAAAGGGUGCGUAGGUGGGCAGGUAAGUCAGUGGUGAAAUCUCCGGGCUUAACCCGGAAACUGCCGUUGAUACUAUUUGUCUUGAAUAUUGUGGAGGUAAGCGGAAUAUGUCAUGUAGCGGUGAAAUGCUUAGAUAUGACAUAGAACACCAAUUGCGAAGGCAGCUUACUACACAAUCAUUGACGCUGAGGCACGAAAGCGUGGGGAUCAAACA